RNAcentral lists this ribosomal RNA (229 nucleotides) under uncultured bacterium. Its description in RNAcentral is "partial 16S ribosomal RNA". It matches the Rfam family "Bacterial small subunit ribosomal RNA", at positions 15 to 240 of the family's 1533-position model. The record is from RNAcentral.
GAUCAUUGCUCAGGAUGAACGCUAGCGACAGGCUUAACACAUGCAAGUCGAGGGGCAUCAUGAGGUAGCAAUGCCUUGAUGGCGACCGGCGCACGGGUGAGUAACGCGUAUGCAACCUGCCCGAUACCGGGGUAUAGCCCAUGGAAACGUGGAUUAACACCCCAUAGUACUUUUAUCCUGCAUGGGAUGGGAGUUAAAUGUUCAAGGUAUCGGAUGGGCAUGCGUCCUA